GCCUUUGUGGCGUAAUGGCUAACGCGUCUGACUGUUCGUAUAACCCGUCCAUCAUGAGUGAAUCCCUAUACUAACAAAAAAAAUAGUCUAUCUAGAAGAUGAUCAGAAGAUUCCCGGUUCGAGCCCGGGCUAAGGCU
Non-coding RNA from Fusarium poae, 137 nucleotides. The record is from the annotation of a RefSeq genome assembly. NCBI's taxonomy places the organism in Eukaryota, Fungi, Ascomycota, Sordariomycetes, Hypocreales, Nectriaceae.